AGACCCGAAACCCGGUGAUCUAGCCAUGGGCAGGUUGAAGGUUGGGUAACACUAACUGGAGGACCGAACCGACUAAUGUUGAAAAAUUAGCGGAUGACCUGUGGCUGGGGGUGAAAGGCCAAUCAAACCGGGAGAUAGCUGGUUCUCCCCGAAAGCUAUUUAGGUAGCGCCUCGUGAAUUCAUCUCCGGGGGUAGAGCACUGUUUCGGCUAGGGGGCCAUCCCGGCUUACCAACCCGAUGCAAACUGCGAAUACCGGAGAAUGUUAUCACGGGAGACACACGGCGGGUGCUAACGUCCGUCGUGAAGAGGGAAACAACCCAGACCGCCAGCUAAGGUCCCAAAGUCAUGGUUAAGUGGGAAACGAUGUGGGAAGGCCCAGACAGCCAGGAUGUUGGCUUAGAAGCAGCCAUCAUUUAAAGAAAGCGUAAUAGCUCACUGGUCGAGUCGGCCUGCGCGGAAGAUGUAACGGGGCUAAACCAUGCACCGAAGCUGCGGCAGCGACACUAUGUGUUGUUGGGUAGGGGAGCGUUCUGUAAGCCUGUGAAGGUGUGUCGUGAGGCAUGCUGGAGGUAUCAGAAGUGCGAAUGCUGACAUAAGUAACGAUAAAGCGGGUGAAAAGCCCGCUCGCCGGAAGACCAAGGGUUCCUGUCCAACGUUAAUCGGGGCAGGGUGAGUCGACCCCUAAGGCGAGGCCGAAAGGCGUAGUCGAUGGGAAACAGGUUAAUAUUCCUGUACUUGGUGUUACUGCGAAGGGGGGACGGAGAAGGCUAUGUUGGCCGGGCGACGGUUGUCCCGGUUUAAGCGUGUAGGUGUGUGUUCCAGGUAAAUCCGGUUCACUUUAACACUGAGGCGUGAUGACGAGGCACUACGGUGCUGAAGCAACAAAUGCCCUGCUUCCAGGAAAAGCCUCUAAGCAUCAGGUAACAUCAAAUCGUACCCCAAACCGACACAGGUGGUCAGGUAGAGAAUACCAAGGCGCUUGAGAGAACUCGGGUGAAGGAACUAGGCAAAAUGGUGCCGUAACUUCGGGAGAAGGCACGCUGACACGUAGGUGAAGUGAUUUACUCACGGAGCUGAAGUCAGUCGAAGAUACCAGCUGGCUGCAACUGUUUAUUAAAAACACAGCACUGUGCAAACACGAAAGUGGACGUAUACGGUGUGACGCCUGCCCGGUGCCGGAAGGUUAAUUGAUGGGGUCAGCGCAAGCGAAGCUCCUGAUCGAAGCCCCGGUAAACGGCGGCCGUAACUAUAACGGUCCUAAGGUAGCGAAAUUCCUUGUCGGGUAAGUUCCGACCUGCACGAAUGGCGUAAUGAUGGCCAGGCUGUCUCCACCCGAGACUCAGUGAAAUUGAACUCGCUGUGAAGAUGCAGUGUACCCGCGGCAAGACGGAAAGACCCCGUGAACCUUUACUAUAGCUUGACACUGAACAUUGAGCCUUGAUGUGUAG
RNAcentral lists this ribosomal RNA (1449 nucleotides) under Salmonella enterica subsp. enterica serovar Isangi. Its description in RNAcentral is "partial 23S ribosomal RNA". It matches the Rfam family "Bacterial large subunit ribosomal RNA", at positions 711 to 2141 of the family's 2925-position model. The record is from RNAcentral. Lineage: Bacteria; Pseudomonadati; Pseudomonadota; Gammaproteobacteria; Enterobacterales; Enterobacteriaceae.